GAUGAAGGAACGUAGCAAAAUGCGAUACUUGGUGUGAAUUGCAGAAUCCCGUGAACCAUCGAGUUUUUGAACGCAAGUUGCGCCCGAAGCCUUUUGGCCGAGGGCACGUCUGCCUGGGCGUCACGCAUCGCGUCGCCCCCCACAAUUCUCCGUAAAGGGAACGUGUGUUUUGGGGGCGGAUAUUGGUCUCCCGUGCUCAUGGCGUGGUUGGCCGAAAUAGGAGUCCUUUCGAUGGACGCACGAACUAGUGGUGGUCGUAAAAACCCUCGUCUUUUGUUUCGUGCUGUUGCUCGCAAGGUAAACUCUUUAAAAACCCCAAUGUAUCGUCUCUUGACGACGCUUCGACCGCGACCCCAGGUCAGGCGGGACUACCCGCUGAGUUUAAGCAUAUCAAUAAGCGGAGGA
RNAcentral lists this unclassified non-coding RNA (405 nucleotides) under soil metagenome. RNAcentral's name for it is "partial contains 5.8S ribosomal RNA, internal transcribed spacer 2, and large subunit ribosomal RNA". The stretch from base 1 to 123 matches the Rfam family "5.8S ribosomal RNA", at positions 35 to 154 of the family's 154-position model. The record is from RNAcentral.